AACAAGCUCUCCAACGAGGACGUGUUCAGACUGCUGGCAGACUUCAGGAAGCCAGAAAAGAUGGCCAAGUUGCCUGUGAUUCUGGGUAAUUUGGAUGUGACGGUUGAUAACGUCGCACCAGAUCUGACUAAUUGUGUCACGGCCUCCUAUCUUCCUCUU
Molecule: long non-coding RNA, 159 nt
Organism: Cyprinus carpio (common carp)
Lineage: Eukaryota; Metazoa; Chordata; Actinopteri; Cypriniformes; Cyprinidae
Exons: 3
Source: RefSeq, a predicted model, not a curated record